AUUCCCCCCUCCCCCUCCCCCAGAUCCGCUGCGGCCGAUGGCCGCCGCCGCCGCGGGGCCCCGCCGGUGGCGCCGCGAGGAGGAGGAGCAGCAGCCGCACCGCCUCUCGGCCGCCGCGGCGGCCGACGACCGCUUCGACGGCCUCCCCGACCCGCUGCUCCUCCUCAUCUUCAACCGCAUCGGCGACGUCAAGGCGCUCGGCCGCUGCGCGCUCGUCUCCCGCCGCUUCCACGCCCUCGUGCCCCUCGUCGACUCCGUGCUCGUCCGCGUCGACUGCGUCAUCCCCGACGACCCCGCCUCCUCCUCCCCGUCCUCCUCCGCGCCCUCCUCCCCCACCGCCUCCGCCUCCGCCCGCGCGCGCGGCGUCUUCUCCCAGAUCGCGCGCAUGCUCAUCGGCGGCAUCGUCAAGCCCAUCCAGGCGCUCGGCCAGAUCCUCUCCCACGCCGGCCCCGCCGCCGACUUCCCCGCCUCCGCCUCCCUCUCCUCCUUCCGCCGCUCCGCCGCCUCCUCGCUCUCCUCCUCCUCGGCGUCGGCGCCCCCCGGCGACGUCUCGCACCACUCGCCCUCCGAGGUGCUCCGCUCCUUCAGGGAGCUCCGCAGCCUGCGCAUCGAGCUCCCCGCCGGCGAGCUCGGCAUGGACGACGGCGUGCUGCUCAAGUGGAAGGCCGACUUCGGCUCCACGCUCGGCAGCUGCGUCAUCCUCGGCGCCGCCUCCGCCUCCGCCUCGCCGUCCUCUGCCGCCAAGGACGGCGCCACGGCCGCGCCUCCUCCUCCAACUGCUGAUUGCGCCGAGUCUGACGAUUCAGGGAGCAUACCGGAGUCCUUCUACACCAACGGGGGGCUUAAGCUGCGGGUGCUGUGGACCAUCAGCUCGUUGAUUGCCGCGUCGGCCCGGCAUUACCUGCUGCAGCCCAUCAUUUCCGACCACGCGUUGCUGGAGAGCCUGGAUCUGACGGACGCCGAUGGGCAGGGCGUGCUCACCAUGGACAAGUGGCAACUGCAGGAGCUACGGGUCAGGCCAGUAUCAGCGUCUGGUGACUCACACCGCACGCUCAUGCCGGCCCUUAGCAUGCGCUUGUGGUAUGCGCCACACAUUGAGCUGCCUGGGGGCACGGUCUUGAAUGGAGCAACACUGGUGGCCAUCAAGCCGAGCGAAGAGGCAAUGAUGGACGCAGUUGGGAAUGCAACUGCUGGCUCGGCAGGUGGAUCCUGGGUUUCAGAUGCCUUUGAGGAGCCAUAUCGGACGGCCGUCGGUGUGCUCCUCAAGCGGAGGAUGUAUAGCCUUGAGAUGAACUCAUUCUAAGCUAUGGAGGGAGUGCCAUUCCAGAAGUUUCAUCUGUGAGAGGUUUAUUCUGUUCUCUCACGAGAUGCAACUCGAAGCACAAUGUAUCUUAAGCAAUGGAGUUGAAGUUCUCUGGCUGCCUAUUUUACUCCAGCCUGCACCUACCUGAGAGACUCGGACAAGUAGUUACUAAUGUAUGAAUGUGGAGAAAAGCUGUGUGCAUCCUUCAGGCCCGUUCGGAACCUCUCAACUCAUCAAUGUUGGAGCUGCUAGACAAGUCAUCGUUGAGCCUGCUGGCAGCCGUCCCUCCAGGGAAGCCCUUGCCUAUGUUGGAUGUGGCGGUAUUACGGGUAGAUCUUCGUUGUAUGUAUGGAUCCUUGUGAAGCUGGUGCUAACACCAUGUCGAUUUUUCGCUUCGGAUUGUAGCUCUUUUUGGAAAGGAAGUUUGCAGCGUUCUGUAGCACGAGAUGUACAUGAGUAUCGGCAGGUUCGUUUCUAGUCUGAACGUGCAGACCUUUCGUAAAUGUUCGAAACAAGGGCUAAUGUAGUGGUACAAUGAUGUGUGUUGAGUGCUGAAGCA
RNAcentral lists this ribosomal RNA (1862 nucleotides) under Triticum aestivum (bread wheat). Its description in RNAcentral is "partial small subunit ribosomal RNA". Lineage: Eukaryota; Viridiplantae; Streptophyta; Magnoliopsida; Poales; Poaceae. The record is from RNAcentral.